GCAAACAAAACAAAAUAAGUACUAAACUUAAAUGUGCUCUAGCUAGUGAUUAAUGCACAUGUUAUCAGUGACAUCCAUAAAAAUUUAAUUCUACCAAUCUUGCUACAAAAGAAAAAAUGAUAGAAAAUUUUGAAUUAUAGAUGGUGAUACAAAACAUACAGUGCAACCAAGAGGAUGAUUUAGUGGGUAAGUUCUCAGAAGGCCUUGCUUUCAAAAUAUGUAAUUAC
This 227-nucleotide long non-coding RNA is filed under the name Elaeis guineensis (African oil palm). RNAcentral describes it as "long non-coding RNA (EGUI_LNC039987)". The record is from RNAcentral. Lineage: Eukaryota; Viridiplantae; Streptophyta; Magnoliopsida; Arecales; Arecaceae.